CUAUUAUUUUCAGAAAGCUGAAGUGAAUAGAGUCCUCAUUUCAUGCUCACCCCGAUUCAGCUUCUGAGAAUUUUUCCUCACUGCAAGUUACACUGCUCCUUGCUGGUCGCCUUAGUCCUUCCUAUGGGUCUGUACUGCCUUCAUUAAACGUCUUUACAGGUAAAUGUUUUUAUAGAGUGUGGCAUCUGUUUAUUAUGGGACCUUGACCAAUAAAAUCUUAGAUCAGCCGUGUGUUUUGAGUUACCCCAUUGCUGGGUAAGGGGCUAGCUUGGGGAGCCUCCCCCUUCUCAGAGGAAUAGGGACAUAUAGGGGGAGGAGUAGUAAGGGUGGGCCAGGAGGAGGGUGGGCUGCCAUCAGGAUGAAAAGUGAAUAAAUUAAUUAAUGAAAAAAGUUUCCCCAUCACCUUUGACUACAGGAUUUUUAUUGAGGUAAGGUCUUCCUUUGUAGCUCAGGUUGGCCGUGAAUUUACAAUUCUUCUGCCUCAGCCUGGUGAUUCUGGGAUUACAGGUAUUUUGGUAUGUGUCGUUACAACUUCUCUAGAACUGAUCAGGACUUAAAGACAAGAUAAAACACUUGCUUUUAUCGCCUGUGGCUGGUAUCUCAGAUCAUGAUAUUUAUUCCUUCUGAAACUUCCAACCUGGGUUUAGGCCACAGAAAGAUAGAUUGGCUUUUGCUAUUUCAUGUUCCUCUAAAGUAAUCUGCUCCUUAUGUUCGACUCAAAAACUGGUUGGCCCUACUGAAUAGCUGGAGAACACAAGUAGCCAUUCUUCCUGUGCAUGAUCAGCACAUUUAUUACUUAUGAGAGGUUUGUAUAAACAUACUAUUAUAGUAACCUAUUUAUACAUCACUGGUAUUUUAACAGUGGGAUUUAAAAACAAUAGCUGUUAAUACUGAAUCUGUGCCUUAAUGCACAGUGUUGAUUUUUGGAGUGUUACAGUUGAAUGCAUUCUCCAUGUGAGUGACCCAGAACAUGAUGCAUUUUUGAAAGGUUAGUAGGAGUAUCUCUGCAUUUCCAUCACAGCACUGGAAAAUUCUAUUUAAACAACAAUUGUGCAUAGGUCCAAGUUGCGUACCUGUCUGAUCUUACACUAGGUUCGAGGAAUGUCUUUGACCUGUUCUCUUACAUCAAUUUUGUUCACUUUUGGUAGGGCUGCUCUGUAUCCAUUCCCUCUGUCUUUAAUACAGUCUUGGAAUCCUGAACAAGUUUAUAGCAUGUAAGAAACUAUUUUCUCUUCGUGGUCCAUCUGGCUAGUAGAACUGAAACCUAAGCGCCAUAUUCCUGCCAAACAAGUUUUCUUGUUUUCUAGGCUUGAAGCAAAGGCUCUUCUUCGUAAAAACUGAAUGCUUCUGUCAUUUGUUAGAUUUGACUUAAUUCACUGAACUGCUAGUCAGUAUCUUCUAUUUUUCAGAUGCUUUUUAAGAUGCUGGAUAUUAAAAUAUGAAUAGAACAUCAAGUCAUUUGGGCAUAUGACAAGGAGUGGCCUGGCUAGAUGAUGUGUGUGGUGGUAUGAAUAUAUUUGAUCCACGGGAAGAACCAAUAUUAGGAGGUGUGGCCUUGUUGGAGUAGGUGUGGCCUUGUUGGGGAAGUUCAUCUCUGUGGGGGUGGGCUUUGAGGUCCUAUGCUCAAGCUCUGCGCAGUGCAGAAGAAAGCCUGCCCCUGACUGCCAGCAGAAGGCAAGUCUCCUCCUGGCUGCCUUCAGAUCAGGAUAGAGAACUCUCACCUCCUCAGCAUCAAGUCUGCCUGCACUGUGCCAUUCUUCCCACCAUGAGGAUAAUGGACUGAACAUCUGAAACUAUAAGCCAUCCCCAAUAAAAUAUUUUCCUUUCUGGAAGUUGCCUUGGUCAUAAUGUCUCUCACAGUGUCUAACUAAGACAAUAUGGUACAUCUACAUUUACCUAUUUAAUAAAUUCUCCACACUGAUUUUCAUAGCGGCUGUAGCAGUUUGCAAUUCCACCAACACUGGAGAGGAUUUUAUUUCCCAUAUCCUCCCAUGCAUUUGCUGUCAGCUGGCUUUUUUUUUUUUUUUUAAUUUUAGCCAGUCUGACAGAGGUAAAAGAAGUUUCUAAUAUCUCAAGAAUGUUGAAUCCCCUCUUAACAUAUUUCUUAGCUGUUGUUAUUUCUUACAGAAUCAGUAGAAGAUCUAAAGACACGGGACCCUGACAGAGCUUCCAGAAAUGACUAAGAAAUGCUAAGCUAGCUGUUCCUAGUCCUCCAUCUAUCUAGAAGCUUCUGCCAUGAUUGUUAGCUCUGGGACCAGGUGAACUCAGACAUGUGAACUUUUGGUUAGCUCCUGUUUGUCACCUGAAGCUCAUGAGCCUUUUCUUCCUUCCUGGGACAAAUAUUUCCAUUUGAAGGUAAAAGGAAAACAAACGUUGAUGACUACUUCAGCAGCUGCAAAGAAAAGAAUUAUUGUUUCCUUCCUUCUUUGGCUCCCUCGAGUUCUCAGGAGGUGCCGAAGAAAAAUCAGCACCAGAUGGCUCUCAAAGAGAUGAUGCUCAAAUUUUAAAUUUAUGGCUCAUUUCUGGAAGACAAUCUGAAGGUGGCCCAAGUUUCAAAUCACUUCCAGAACAGACUCAGGGGAGAAUGUCUCUCGCUUUGGUUUACAAAGCUGGUCUCAUGGUUCUCUGGUUUGCUAGUGCUGUUUGAUUGUAGCACAGGGAGUCUGUGACCGGAACUGCCACAAUGGGGACCCACCUUAGCUGGUAUGUAAAGAUUGCCAAGUCACUUUGGAAACAUUCUCUUCGUGUAUGUUAGUGGCAACAGAGAGCAGCUUCUGUAUGUGGCGACCUUGGUUUAACUUAGUCUAUCAGCAGACCAGUAAGCAAC
RNAcentral lists this long non-coding RNA (2827 nucleotides) under Mus caroli (Ryukyu mouse). RNAcentral's name for it is "lncRNA (MGP_CAROLIEiJ_G0002308.1)". The record is from RNAcentral. Lineage: Eukaryota; Metazoa; Chordata; Mammalia; Rodentia; Muridae.